UUCCGUGCCAGCAGCCGCGGUAAUACGGGGGGGGCAAGCGUUGUUCGGAAUUACUGGGGCGUAAAGGGCUCGUAGGCGGCCAACUAAGUCAGACGUGAAAUCCCUCGGCUUAACCGGGGAACUGCGUCUGAUACUGGAUGGCUGGAGGUUGGGAGAGGGAUGCGGAAUUCCAGGUGUAGCGGUGAAAUGCGUAGAUAUCUGGAGGAACACCGGUGGCGAAGGCGGCAUCCUGGACCAAUUCUGACACUGAGGCACGAAAGCUAGGGGAGCAAACAGGAUUAGAUACCCUGGUAGUCCUAGCCGUAAACGGUGCGUAUUUGCUGUAAAAGGAAUCGACCCCUUUUGUGGCGUAGCCAACGCGUUAAAUACGCCGCCUGGGAAGUACGGUCGCAAGAUUAAAACUCAAAGAAAUUGACGGGGGCCUGCACAAGCGGUGGAGUAUGUGGCUUAAUUCGAUGCAACGCGAAGAACCUUACCUGGCCUUGACAUGCAAGUAGUAGAAGGAUGAAAGUCUGACGAGCCCGCAAGGGCAGCUUGCACAGGUGCUGCAUGGCUUCUCAGCUCGGUCG
Molecule: ribosomal RNA, 569 nt
Filed under: uncultured Verrucomicrobium sp.
Lineage: Bacteria; Pseudomonadati; Verrucomicrobiota; Verrucomicrobiia; Verrucomicrobiales; Verrucomicrobiaceae
Description: bacterial SSU rRNA
Rfam family: Bacterial small subunit ribosomal RNA
Source: RNAcentral